This 1456-nucleotide ribosomal RNA is filed under the name Streptococcus salivarius. RNAcentral's name for it is "bacterial SSU rRNA". It matches the Rfam family "Bacterial small subunit ribosomal RNA". The record is from RNAcentral. Lineage: Bacteria; Bacillati; Bacillota; Bacilli; Lactobacillales; Streptococcaceae.
GCCGGGGCGGCGUGCUAUACAUGCAAGUAGAACGCUGAAGAGAGGAGCUUGCUCUUCUUGGAUGAGUUGCGAACGGGUGAGUAACGCGUAGGUAACCUGCCUUGUAGCGGGGGAUAACUAUUGGAAACGAUAGCUAAUACCGCAUAACAAUGGAUGACCCAUGUCAUUUAUUUGAAAGGGGCAAAUGCUCCACUACAAGAUGGACCUGCGUUGUAUUAGCUAGUAGGUGAGGUAACGGCUCACCUAGGCGACGAUACAUAGCCGACCUGAGAGGGUGAUCGGCCACACUGGGACUGAGACACGGCCCAGACUCCUACGGGAGGCAGCAGUAGGGAAUCUUCGGCAAUGGGGGCAACCCUGACCGAGCAACGCCGCGUGAGUGAAGAAGGUUUUCGGAUCGUAAAGCUCUGUUGUAAGUCAAGAACGAGUGUGAGAGUGGAAAGUUCACACUGUGACGGUAGCUUACCAGAAAGGGACGGCUAACUACGUGCCAGCAGCCGCGGUAAUACGUAGGUCCCGAGCGUUGUCCGGAUUUAUUGGGCGUAAAGCGAGCGCAGGCGGUUUGAUAAGUCUGAAGUUAAAGGCUGUGGCUCAACCAUAGUUCGCUUUGGAAACUGUCAAACUUGAGUGCAGAAGGGGAGAGUGGAAUUCCAUGUGUAGCGGUGAAAUGCGUAGAUAUAUGGAGGAACACCGGUGGCGAAAGCGGCUCUCUGGUCUGUAACUGACGCUGAGGCUCGAAAGCGUGGGGAGCGAACAGGAUUAGAUACCCUGGUAGUCCACGCCGUAAACGAUGAGUGCUAGGUGUUGGAUCCUUUCCGGGAUUCAGUGCCGCAGCUAACGCAUUAAGCACUCCGCCUGGGGAGUACGACCGCAAGGUUGAAACUCAAAGGAAUUGACGGGGGCCCGCACAAGCGGUGGAGCAUGUGGUUUAAUUCGAAGCAACGCGAAGAACCUUACCAGGUCUUGACAUCCCGAUGCUAUUUCUAGAGAUAGAAAGUUACUUCGGUACAUCGGUGACAGGUGGUGCAUGGUUGUCGUCAGCUCGUGUCGUGAGAUGUUGGGUUAAGUCCCGCAACGAGCGCAACCCCUAUUGUUAGUUGCCAUCAUUCAGUUGGGCACUCUAGCGAGACUGCCGGUAAUAAACCGGAGGAAGGUGGGGAUGACGUCAAAUCAUCAUGCCCCUUAUGACCUGGGCUACACACGUGCUACAAUGGUUGGUACAACGAGUUGCGAGUCGGUGACGGCAAGCUAAUCUCUUAAAGCCAAUCUCAGUUCGGAUUGUAGGCUGCAACUCGCCUACAUGAAGUCGGAAUCGCUAGUAAUCGCGGAUCAGCACGCCGCGGUGAAUACGUUCCCGGGCCUUGUACACACCGCCCGUCACACCACGAGAGUUUGUAACACCCGAAGUCGGUGAGGUAACCUUUUGGAGCCAGCCGCCUAAGGUGGAAUUAAGAGG